AUACUUACCUGUCAGGGGAGAUACCAUGAUCAUGAAGGUGGUUUUCCCAGGGUGAGGCUCAUUCAUUGCACGCCAGGUGUGCUGAGCCCUGCAAUUUCCCCAAAUGUGGAAAACUCAGCUGCAUGAUUUGUGGUAAUGGGGGACUGCGUUUGCACUCUCCCCUG
Nannospalax galili (Upper Galilee mountains blind mole rat) is the source of this 164-nucleotide small nuclear RNA. Its record names the gene U1. It matches the Rfam family "U1 spliceosomal RNA". Rfam says of the family: U1 is a small nuclear RNA (snRNA) component of the spliceosome (involved in pre-mRNA splicing). Its 5' end forms complementary base pairs with the 5' splice junction, thus defining the 5' donor site of an intron. The record is from Ensembl. Lineage: Eukaryota; Metazoa; Chordata; Mammalia; Rodentia; Spalacidae.